UUAUGGAUUUGGAUGCAAGCCCUUGGCUGUAGCAGGUUUUGCAGCCCUGAGGGCAGGGCUCGCCUCAGGGUCGCCAUUUGGGAGCGCUCACGCGCCUCUCCUCAGGGGCGGUAGGGCGGGAAGGCGCGACUCCUGCUGGCCACUGACGGUUCUGGAGGGUUCUGGACAUUUCUGUCCAGUUCUGGACGGUUCACGGCAAUUCUGGGCGGUUCUGUCCAUUUCUAGGCAACUUGGGGCAAUUCUGGGCGGUUCUGUCCAGUUCUGGGUGCUUCCAGGUGGUUCUGGGGGGUUCCAGCCAGCUCCAGAGUGUUGGCUGAUGCCUCUGGGAAAGGGUCUUGAAGAAAGGGAAAAAAAAAAAAAAAAGCCACCCAAACCAGCAGGAAACAGCUGAGGGAACACAAAGAUCAGUGGAGCAGGUGCUCCAGGUCCAGGUGUUGGAGAGCCCGCUGUGGAGCCGGGGGAGAGCAUGAGGAGGAAGGAGCAGCAGAGGGGAGCCAGUAGGGGCCAGCUGUGGCCCCACACCCUGUCCUGAGGCACAGGUGCUUGGUCUGAUAUUGGCAAUGCAGCUGGAGUAAGGCCUGCACGCUGUGAUUAUUACCUGUGAUUAAACCCUGAAGGAAAAGGACAGCUUUUCCACAUGGGAUGCUGGUAUCAUCUGCUGUGAACAAAAGGGUACAACAGAGGUCCUGGUUGCCAGCGCAGGAUGUGAUGCAGAGGUGUAAACCCAGCAGGAGAAAACAGCUCAGGUUUGUUGUGGACUGAAGACAAAUAUCACUGAUAAAAUGAAGGUCAGCAAUUUAACAGCUUCUUGCAGAAAAGAUUUUGAGGAACCUUUGAAACAUCUGCUGGCAAAAUCUGAUGAGAAGACAGUAGUGUGCUUGAAGCAGAAAUUCUAAGAACGAAACUGUAGCCAUUUCCAAGAGAUGAUAAGAAGAUGCAGCUCUUCACAGGGAGGAACAAUAUGAUGUCUCCUGUGAGGACCUGAUGGAGCAGAAAUAAUACUGUGUUUUAGGAGAUCUUCCUCCUUGUAGCAUGUAUACUAAACAGGUUAAUAAACCAGUAGCUGGUGAUCAAUUUAUGUAAAAUAACUCUUAAGCAGCAAGCCCGAUCUGAAAAUUACUUGAUAAACUAUUCAGUAAAUGUUAUCUGCAUAAAUAACACACAGGAAUAAAUUGGAACCAGUUUGAGACCAUAAAAGGAGGGCUACAUUUGCAGCAUGGUUCAGAGACUGUAAAUCAAAUCAAACCAAUUUUGUCUCCUGUUCCACCUUUUAUUAGAUAAUCAAAAUUCAGAUCAGUCUCAUGAAAAGAUUUCCUUGUACUGCUUGAAUCUCAUAAGUAAGCCUGGCUCUACUUGCAAGUGAGUACCACCUCUAAAAGAGAUGGAAACAGUGCCUGCUCACAUCCCAAGUGCGAAAUAGCUGGGAAGUAAAAUACAUUUCAAGAAACAUUUUGUUUGAAUUUUGAGAUGAACUGGAGUAGAAGGUGCUUAGAAAAGUGAUGGGAAGUGGCUCCAUGUUAGAGGCAUAACACAUGGAGAACUCUUAAACUUCAUGGGAAAUUAACAGGCAUAGCUGAAGUGGGUAAUUUCAAGAAUGCAGCCCUAGGAGUUGAUGCGGACCUGCGAAUAACAUUACAUCCAAAAACUGUGUUAUUAAAAUUAACACAUUAUUGACUAGCAUGGAAAAAAAAAUGACAGAGGAAAUCCGUCAGCAGCAUGAAAGUCUGAUCAUGACAGGCCAGCUCAAAUGGCAGGUGUUGUGCAGCUUGGCAAGAAGCUGCAGGAUCUCGGGGACGGCUUGGAGAAAAGAGCUGCUGCAGAAGAAACAAGUUCACUGCGAAGAGCACUGCACUUAGGAGAAGGGCCUCUAGCAGAGGCAAUCUAGUGAAGCCAACUUCAGCUUAGACAAGAAAGAUGUACUGGCAAUAUUUUGUCAUACAGAAAAAAAUUAAAUUCUUACCCAGAAUAAGGAGAAAAAUAAUUGAAAUCUAGUGUGAUUGUGAAAUUCCCUGUGUGGUAAUCCAAUCUGGAGACAAUCAGCCACGGACAGCUUUAUCUGUCAUUGCCUGACAAGCAGAAUUUCCAAAGCAAAAUUUCCAAAGGAGCCAGCAGCGAUUGCUGUUAGCGGCAUAUUACGUCAUCUGUCGUAAGGGCAGAGCCGAGCACCUCCUGUGGCAACUGUUCACGCAUAAACUCAUGUUGUUGGGACACAAGGGUGUUUGCUGUAAAUUGCUGUUGGUUUCACUGGGAAUAAAACACGCCCUUAUAAAGUUGCUAAUAGACCACACAUUGACCAACUGUAACUUCCUUGGCUCUGUUUGCUUACACCAUCAGCUGAAGACUCUGCAUUAGGCAAAGUUUAAUAUGAAGUGACCAGCUGGGAUCUCUAGUGGACAGGGCUGUAGAUGUGAUGAGCUUGAAAGUAAGAUAACUACGUGCUGCCCAAGAUGAUGCACUUGUCUGUGCCUCUCUUUCUUGAAUGAGAUGUUUCGAUGUCUUAUUAGCCCAUCGGUAGAACAGGAUUGCAGGCACUCCUGUUGUGGAGUGAUUGGCAGUGAGAGGCUGCCUGCUUGCAACAGAACUUUCUAUGUGAAAUGCUCAAUUUAUCGAACCGAAUCAGAGUGUGAGUGAUAAGAAGUAUCUGCAAUACAAUUCUGCACAGUGCUCUGCACAGCCCAUACCAGGCCAGUUUUAAUUAUCCCCAGAAACUAAACCAGACAUGAGUUCACUUGGCCUGGGGCCUCCUAGGAUCUGUGGUACACAGCACCAAACAAGGAGGUUCCCUGCCUCAGAUGAAGCCCUGUUAUGUUACAAAAAAAAACAAACCCUGCUUAGUACUUGUUACGUUACACUGACUACGUUAAAGGAAUGAUUUAUAGGUACAGAGAAAAAAAAAAAUAAGGCAAAGUGUGUGUCUUAACAAGGUCUACCAAGGUUACAAAUUCUGAUAAAAAAAAAAAUCAUUUACAUUGAGGUAUUUGUUUAAUUUAUUUCAGGUGAGGUCAAAUCUUUGAUUCUUUCUUUAAAUAACUGGGAAGUUUUUACAGAUUCUAUAAUGUGUUCAAGGUAGGUUAUGCUUUUGCAAGAGAGCUGCAAAUACUUAUGUUCUGAUGGAGGUGGUACUAAACAAAGAAGAGUUACAUAAAUGCCUUGUAGCAUAGGCUUCAUGUGUUAGGAAUAUUAAAAAUAACUCCUCAAUGCUCACAGGGUCUUAUUUCAGUAAAGCGUGCUAUGUUUUCCAUCCUUUUAUGCAUGACUUCAACUACAAAACCAUUAUGGAAUUGAAAUGUAUCUGAAUAUCCAAUCUAUAAUGCCCCUUGGCAAAACCCAAGUGAAAAUAAGGGGUCCAAAGAGGGAAAAUGCAUUUAAUAUUCAUAUACGGAUUGACUAUAUAGUCAAUACACCGGCUUGCCUUGUUGAUUAGUCUUAAGUGUAACCGUUUUGUGUCCAAUGUCCAUAAAGCAGCAGCGAAGCAGCAGACAAAAAAUGACAUUUUCUUAAACAGAGAAGUGGUACCAAACGUAAAUCUGACUUUGCACGUUUUUGAUUGGCAAGAUACAUGGUUUGAGGCUUUCUGUUACGAGACCAGGCCCAGCUUCGAACACCUGGAUGCAGUCUUCCUAAGGAUUCAGGGAGGGUCUUGAAGUCACGCUCUCUUAACUUUGCUUUCCAAUUUUAUAUGAAAUGAUAGCAAAUCU
Cygnus olor (mute swan) is the source of this 3698-nucleotide long non-coding RNA. RefSeq lists it as uncharacterized. NCBI's taxonomy places the organism in Eukaryota, Metazoa, Chordata, Aves, Anseriformes, Anatidae. The record is from RefSeq and is a predicted model, not a curated record. The transcript has 6 exons.